This 429-nucleotide ribosomal RNA is filed under the name Chloroflexota bacterium. RNAcentral describes it as "Chloroflexi bacterium partial 16S ribosomal RNA". It matches the Rfam family "Bacterial small subunit ribosomal RNA", at positions 355 to 776 of the family's 1533-position model. Lineage: Bacteria; Bacillati; Chloroflexota. The record is from RNAcentral.
UGGGGAAUAUUGCACAAUGGGCGCAAGCCUGAUGCAGCCAUGCCGCGUGUAUGAAGAAGGCCUUCGGGUUGUAAAGUACUUUCAGCGGGGAGGAAGGGAGUAAAGUUAAUACCUUUGCUCAUUGACGUUACCCGCAGAAGAAGCACCGGCUAACUCCGUGCCAGCAGCCGCGGUAAUACGGAGGGUGCAAGCGUUAAUCGGAAUUACUGGGCGUAAAGCGCACGCAGGCGGUUUGUUAAGUCAGAUGUGAAAUCCCCGUGCUCAACCUGGGAACUGCAUCUGAUACUGGCAGGCUGGAGUCUCGUAGAGGGGGGUAGAAUUCCAGGUGUAGCGGUGAAAGGCGUAGAGAUCUGGAGGAAUACCGGUGGCGAAGGCGGCCCCCUGGACGAAGACUGACGCUCAGGUGCGAAAGCGUGGGGAGCAAACAGG